UUACGGCCAUAUCAAGUUGAAAUACCGGGUUCCCGAAUGAUAACCGAAGUUAAACAACGUCGAGUCUGGUCAGUACCUAGAUGGGUGACCACUUGAAAAUAUCAAGUGCUGUAAG
Non-coding RNA from Acanthosepion pharaonis, 115 nucleotides. The record is from the annotation of a GenBank genome assembly. NCBI's taxonomy places the organism in Eukaryota, Metazoa, Mollusca, Cephalopoda, Sepiida, Sepiidae.